Molecule: ribosomal RNA, 253 nt
Filed under: uncultured bacterium
Lineage: Bacteria
Description: partial 16S ribosomal RNA
Rfam family: Bacterial small subunit ribosomal RNA
Source: RNAcentral
UACGGGGGGGGCAAGCGUUGUCCGGAUUUACUGGGCGUAAAGAGCGCGCAGGCGGUCGUUCAAGUCGCGUGUGAAAGCCCCCGGCUCAACUGGGGAGGGUCACGCGAUACUGAUCGACUCGAAGGCAGGAGAGGGAAGUGGAAUUCCCGGUGUAGUGGUGAAAUGCGUAGAUAUCGGGAGGAACACCAGUGGCGAAGGCGACUUCCUGGCCUGUUCUUGACGCUGAGGCACGAAAGCGUGGGGAGCAAACAGG